UAGGGAAUCUUCGGCAAUGGGCGAAAGCCUGACCGAGCAACGCCGCGUGAGCGAUGAAGGCCUUCGGGUCGUAAAGCUCUGUUGUUAAGGAAGAACAAGUACGAGAGUAACUGCUCGUACCUUGACGGUACUUAACGAGAAAGCCACGGC
This 150-nucleotide ribosomal RNA is filed under the name uncultured Bacillus sp. RNAcentral describes it as "partial 16S ribosomal RNA". It matches the Rfam family "Bacterial small subunit ribosomal RNA", at positions 355 to 497 of the family's 1533-position model. The record is from RNAcentral. Lineage: Bacteria; Bacillati; Bacillota; Bacilli; Caryophanales; Bacillaceae.